AGCUUUGCGCAGUGGCAGUAUCGUAGCCAAUGAGGUUUAUCCGAGGCGUGAUUAUUGCUAAUUGAAUUUAUUUAUUUAUUUAUUCAAAGUUUUAUUCAUAAACAGAUAGCAAUGAGACAGUUUCAAAUCAAA
RNAcentral lists this small nuclear RNA (132 nucleotides) under Octodon degus (degu). Its description in RNAcentral is "U4 spliceosomal RNA (ENSODEG00000024967.1)". It matches the Rfam family "U4 spliceosomal RNA". From Rfam's summary of the family: U4 small nuclear RNA (U4 snRNA) is a component of the major U2-dependent spliceosome. The structure of U4 snRNA from yeast and human has been reported. The record is from Rfam by way of RNAcentral. Lineage: Eukaryota; Metazoa; Chordata; Mammalia; Rodentia; Octodontidae.